This 253-nucleotide ribosomal RNA is filed under the name uncultured bacterium. RNAcentral describes it as "partial 16S ribosomal RNA". It matches the Rfam family "Bacterial small subunit ribosomal RNA", at positions 524 to 776 of the family's 1533-position model. The record is from RNAcentral.
GACGGGGGAUGCAAGUGUUAUCCGGAAUCACUGGGCGUAAAGCGUCUGUAGGUGGUCAAAUAAGUCAACUGUUAAAUCUUGAGGCUCAACCUCAAAAUCGCAGUCGAAACUAUUAGACUAGAGUAUAGUAGGGGUAAAGGGAAUUUCCAGUGGAGCGGUGAAAUGCGUAGAGAUUGGAAAGAACACCGAUGGCGAAGGCACUUUACUGGGCUAUUACUAACACUCAGAGACGAAAGCUAGGGUAGCAAAUGGG